GACGAACGCUUGCGGCGUGCUUAACACAUGCAAGUCGAACGGAAAGGCCCUGCUUUUGUGGGGUGCUCGAGUGGCGAACGGGUGAGUAACACGCGAGUAACCUGCCCUUGACUUUGGGAUAACUUCAGGAAACUGGGGCUAAUACCGGAUAGGAGCUCCUGCUGCAUGGUGGGGGUUGGAAAGUUUCGGCGGUUGGGGAUGGACUCGCGGCUUAUCAGCUUGUUGGGGGGGUAGUGGCUUACCAAGGCUUUGACGGGUAGCCGGCCUGAGAGGGUGACCGGCCACAUUGGGACUGAGAUACGGCCCAGACUCCUACGGGAGGCAGCAGUGGGGAAUAUUGCGCAAUGGGCGGAAGCCUGAUGCAGCAACGCCGCGUGCGGGAUGACGGCCUUCGGGUUGUAAACCGCUUUCGCCUGUGACGAAGCGUGAGUGACGGUAAUGGGUAAAGAAGCACCGGCUAACUACGUGCCAGCAGCCGCGGUGAUACGUAGGGUGCGAGCGUUGUCCGGAUUUAUUGGGCGUAAAGGGCUCGUAGGUGGUUGAUCGCGUCGGAAGUGUAAUCUUGGGGCUUAACCCUGAGCGUGCUUUCGAUACGGGUUGACUUGAGGAAGGUAGGGGAGAAUGGAAUUCCUGGUGGAGCGGUGGAAUGCGCAGAUAUCAGGAGGAACACCAGUGGCGAAGGCGGUUCUCUGGGCCUUUCCUGACGCUGAGGAGCGAAAGCGUGGGGAGCGAACAGGCUUAGAUACCCUGGUAGUCCACGCUGUAAACGGUGGGUACUAGGUGUGGGGUCCAUUCCACGGGUUCCGUGCCGUAGCUAACGCUUUAAGUACCCCGCCUGGGGAGUACGGCCGCAAGGCUAAAACUCAAAGGAAUUGACGGGGCCCCGCACAAGCGGCGGAGCAUGCGGAUUAAUUCGAUGCAACGCGUAGAACCUUACCUGGGUUUGACAUGGAUCGGGAGUGCUCAGAGAUGGGUGUGCCUCUUUUGGGGUCGGUUCACAGGUGGUGCAUGGCUGUCGUCAGCUCGUGUCGUGAGAUGUUGGGUUAAGUCCCGCAACGAGCGCAACCCUUGUUCACUGUUGCCAGCACGUUAUGGUGGGGACUCAGUGGAGACCGCCGGGGUCAACUCGGUGGAAGGUGGGGAUGACGUCAAGUCAUCAUGCCCCUUAUGUCCAGGGCUUCACGCAUGCUACAAUGGCUGGUACAGAGAGUGGCGAGCCUGUGAGGGUGAGCGAAUCUCGGAAAGCCGGUCUCAGUUCGGAUUGGGGUCUGCAACUCGACCUCAUGAAGUCGGAGUCGCUAGUAAUCGCAGAUCAGCAACGCUGCGGUGAAUACGUUCCCGGG
RNAcentral lists this ribosomal RNA (1343 nucleotides) under uncultured bacterium. RNAcentral describes it as "16S ribosomal RNA". It matches the Rfam family "Bacterial small subunit ribosomal RNA", at positions 28 to 1378 of the family's 1533-position model. The record is from RNAcentral.